GUUGAAGAAAAGCGAGCGAAAGCGAAGCUUCAGAGAAACGUGACCAUCUGUGUGUUUGGGCUGGGUAGAGGUUGGCUCUUUGAUUAAGUGUGGUCGUGCAGACCAGAAAGAGAAUGGACCCAAGACUGGUAGGGUUUCUGCAGGGACAGCCCUUAUUGAGGCCCAAUGCUGCCGUGCCCAUGCAUUUUCCUGUGGCGGCGCCCAACCUGGGGUAUACACUGAACCACCAUGGCCGCCCUCACCUCGGCCAUCAAGGCGGCAACCAGGGAGUACGCCCUGCCUACAGCCACCACCACCGCAGCCGCAGCCGCAGUGCUGGCUCUGGCACAGCCC
Molecule: long non-coding RNA, 333 nt
Organism: Thrips palmi
Lineage: Eukaryota; Metazoa; Arthropoda; Insecta; Thysanoptera; Thripidae
Exons: 3
Source: RefSeq, a predicted model, not a curated record